CUGUGGGCUCUCGUCCUGCUGGUAG
This 25-nucleotide unclassified non-coding RNA is filed under the name Mus musculus (house mouse). RNAcentral's name for it is "oocyte_clustered_small_RNA6351". Lineage: Eukaryota; Metazoa; Chordata; Mammalia; Rodentia; Muridae. The record is from RNAcentral.